RNAcentral lists this ribosomal RNA (446 nucleotides) under uncultured bacterium. RNAcentral describes it as "partial 16S ribosomal RNA". It matches the Rfam family "Bacterial small subunit ribosomal RNA", at positions 338 to 795 of the family's 1533-position model. The record is from RNAcentral.
CCUACGGGGGGCAGCAGUCGAGAAUCAUUCACAAUGGGGGAAACCCUGAUGGUGCGACGCCGCGUGGGGGAAUGAAGGUCUUCGGAUUGUAAACCCCUGUCAUGUGGGAGCAAAUUAAAAAGAUAGUACCACAAGAGGAAGAGACGGCUAACUCUGUGCCAGCAGCCGCGGUAAUACAGAGGUCUCAAGCGUUGUUCGGAAUCACUGGGCGUAAAGCGUGCGUAGGCUGUUUCGUAAGUCGUGUGUGAAAGGCCCGGGCUCAACCCGCGGACGGCACAUGAUACUGCGAGACUAGAGUAAUGGAGGGGGAACCGGAAUUCUCGGUGUAGCAGUGAAAUGCGUAGAUAUCGAGAGGAACACUCGUGGCGAAGGCGGGUUCCUGGACAUUAACUGACGCUGAGGCACGAAGGCCAGGGGAGCGAAAGGGAUUAGAUACCCUUGUAGUC